CGCAUCUGUGCAUGCAGCAUAUCAAUAAGCGGAGGAAAAGAAACUAACAAGGAUUCCCUUAGUAACGGCGAGUGAAGCGGGAAGAGCUCAAAUUUGAAAUCUUCAAGGUUUUACCUUGACGAAUUGUAGUUUAAAGAAGUGUUUUCUGUUGAAGUUUUGGUAAAAGUUCUUUGGAAUAGGACAUCAUAGAGGGUGAGAAUCCCGUAUUUGACCAUUACUUUCAACUGUGUGAUACACUUUCAAAGAGUCGGAUUGUUUGGGAAUGCAGUCCAAAAUGGGUGGUAAAUUUCAUCUAAAGCUAAAUAUUGGCGAGAGACCGAUAGCGAACAAGUACCGUGAGGGAAAGAUGAAAAGAACUUUGAAAAGAGAGUUAAACAGUACGUGAAAUUGUCAAAAGGGAAGCGUUUGACACCAGUGUUGUUUUCUCGAAAAUCAAUUAAAAGAAGUUGAUUUUGUAAGUUGUAUUAGACCUUAUCAGCUAAUGCUUCAGCUCUUUGCAGCUUUUCUUUAAUGCACUUUUCAGUUAACAAGUCAACAUCAAUUUCUUUUGCUUGUAAAAAGGUCAUUGGAAGGUGGCUUGCGCUUCGAGAAGUGUUUAUAGCCUCUUGAUCUCUGCAGUCGGAGAGACUGAGGUCUGCAGCGUAGAUCCUUCGGGGUUAAAUAGCAUUUGUGCUAAGCUACUAGCAUUUUCAUAGACAACUUGUUGACUAUGAUUUAGUCUUGUAGCUUACCUCGCUUAUGCUAUUUUACCUACGCUUAGGAUGUUGAUAUGCAUGACUGAUAU
RNAcentral lists this ribosomal RNA (784 nucleotides) under uncultured Neocallimastigales. RNAcentral describes it as "partial large subunit ribosomal RNA". It matches the Rfam family "Eukaryotic large subunit ribosomal RNA", at positions 26 to 629 of the family's 3401-position model. Lineage: Eukaryota; Fungi; Neocallimastigomycota; Neocallimastigomycetes; Neocallimastigales. The record is from RNAcentral.